GUGCUUGCUUCGGCAGCACAUGUACUAAAAUUGGAACGAUACAGAGAAGAUUAGCAUGGCCCCUGCGUAAAUACACUGUAGCACCAAAACUUCCUCCUUUGU
This is a small nuclear RNA of Erinaceus europaeus (western European hedgehog), 102 nucleotides long. Lineage: Eukaryota; Metazoa; Chordata; Mammalia; Eulipotyphla; Erinaceidae. The record is from Ensembl.